UGGGGAAUGAUUGCACAAUGGGCGAAAGCCUGAUGCAGCAACGCCGCGUGAGUGAUGAAGGCCUUCGGGUUGUAAAGCUCUGUCUUUUGGGACGAUAAUGACGGUACCAAAGGAGGAAGCCACGGCUAACUACGUGCCAGCAGCCGCGGUAAUACGUAGGUGGCAAGCGUUUGUCCGGAUUUUACUGGGGCGUAAAGGAUGCGUAGGCGGAUUUUUAAGUGAGAUGUGAAAUACCGGCGUAAUCUUGAGUGCUGCAUUUCAAACUGGGAAUCUAGAGUGCGGGAGAGGAGAAUGGAAUUCCUAGUGUAGCGGUGAAAUGCGUAGAGAUUAGGAAGAACACCAGUGGCGAAGGCGAUUCUCUGGACCGUAACUGACGCUGAGGCAUGAAAGCGUGGGUAGCAAACAGGAUUAGAUACCCUGGUAGUCCACGCCGUAAACG
RNAcentral lists this ribosomal RNA (439 nucleotides) under uncultured bacterium. RNAcentral describes it as "partial 16S ribosomal RNA". It matches the Rfam family "Bacterial small subunit ribosomal RNA", at positions 355 to 808 of the family's 1533-position model. The record is from RNAcentral.